UGCUGGCAUAUGGACUGUCUAUUCUCAGC
RNAcentral lists this non-coding RNA (29 nucleotides) under Mus musculus (house mouse). Lineage: Eukaryota; Metazoa; Chordata; Mammalia; Rodentia; Muridae. The record is from RNAcentral.